Molecule: long non-coding RNA, 212 nt
Filed under: Homo sapiens (human)
Lineage: Eukaryota; Metazoa; Chordata; Mammalia; Primates; Hominidae
Description: HSALNT0006365
Source: RNAcentral
CAGGCCUCAGCAACUGCUGUGGUGUUGCUCAGCAUGCACACAGGUCUCUAUACCUUGACCAGGUCUCCACCAGGUACCUCACUGGGGGGCUGGUAAUUAAUACCAACCUUAAAGCCAAUGGGAUGCCAAUCCACAAACUGGAUGGUAGGCUUGAUCUUGAUGGUGGUGAUGGCAGCAUUGACAUCUUUGGGGACCAUGUCCCCAUGGUACAA